CGGAGGUACUCGAGUGGCGAACGGGUGAGUAACACGUGGGUGAUCUGCCCUGCACUCUGGGAUAAGCCUGGGAAACUGGGUCUAAUACCGGAUAGGACCGCACUUUAGUGUGUGUGGUGGAAAGUUUUUUCGGUGUAGGAUGAGCCCGCGGCCUAUCAGCUUGUUGGUUGGGUAAUGGCCUACCGAGGCGGCGACGGGUAGCCGGACUGAGAGGUUGGUCGGCCACAUUGGGACUGAGAUACGGCCCAG
Molecule: ribosomal RNA, 249 nt
Filed under: uncultured Actinomycetales bacterium
Lineage: Bacteria; Bacillati; Actinomycetota; Actinomycetes; Actinomycetales
Description: partial 16S ribosomal RNA
Rfam family: Bacterial small subunit ribosomal RNA
Source: RNAcentral